This 162-nucleotide unclassified non-coding RNA is filed under the name uncultured fungus. Its description in RNAcentral is "partial contains 18S rRNA, ITS1 and 5.8S rRNA". The record is from RNAcentral. Lineage: Eukaryota; Fungi.
AGGUGAACCUGCGGAAGGAUCAUUACCGAUUUUUAGCGGACCUGAUCUUUGGUCAUGGUCUCGCGAAAACUUGUAUUUAAAACCCCACUCUUAUAAAUUGAAUCAUUUUAUAUGUAUAUAAUAAAUAAAGAUCACUUUCAACAACGGAUCUCUUGGCUCUCG